Molecule: non-coding RNA, 210 nt
Organism: Drosophila suzukii
Lineage: Eukaryota; Metazoa; Arthropoda; Insecta; Diptera; Drosophilidae
Source: RefSeq, a predicted model, not a curated record
AAAACAUGGUGUAAUUUUCAUAGCAACCCAAAUGGUCUUCAUCUGCAGGUUGGAACGGUUUAAACCACGGCUCUUGAUGUAGAUGAAUCCAACCUUAAAUAAUACGAUAAAACGAAAAGGUCCAUCACCAACUGAAUUUGCGAUCAACGUGGUUUUUGUUAUAUUUUAUGGUGUUAUUAAUAUACUUACCAACCACCUGGAAUCCAGUUA